UAAAGAUUUUAAGGGCGUACGGUGGAUGCCUUGGCGAUAUCAGCCGAAGAAGGACGCGGUAAGCUGCGAUAAGCUACGGAGAGGUGCAAGCAACCUGUGACCCGUAGAUUUCCGAAUGGGGGAACCCGGCAGUGGUUAUGCACUGUCACCCAUAGCUUAGACUAUGAGGAGGGCACCUGGGGAACUGAAACAUCUAAUUACCCGGAGGAACAGUAAUCAAACGAGAUUUUCUUAGUAGCGGCGAGCGAACGGGAAAGAGGCCAAACCGGAGCGGGCAACCGCACCGGGGUUGAGGACAGUCAUCAAGUGUAAAUGAGGUAGAAGAAUCGAGCUGGAAAGCUCAGCCGCAGAAGGUGAAAGCCCUGUAAUCGAAACCUUGCAUACAUGGGACUGUAUCCAGAGUACCACGAGACACGUGAAACCUUGUGGGAAGCAGGGGGGACCACCCUCCAAGCCAAAAUACUGAUAUCGACCGAUAGCGCAUAGUACCGUGAGGGAAAGGUGAAAAGAACCCCUGGCGGGGAGUGAAAGAGAACCUGAAACCGUAUGUCUACAAACAGUCGAAGUCUGUAUAUAUAUCAGGACGACGGCGUGCCUAUUGAAGAAUGAACCGACGAGUUACUGUUGCUAGCGAGGUUAAGUGGAAAACAUGGAGCCGCAGCGAAAGCGAGUCUGAACAGGGCGUUCAGUUAGUAAUAGUAGACCCGAAACCGUAGUGAUCUAUCCAUGGCCAGGUUGAAGCACAGGUAAAAUUGUGUGGAGGACCGAACUCGUGAGCGUUGAAAAGCUUUGGGAUGAGUUGUGGAUAGGGGUGAAAUGCCAAUCGAACACGGAGAUAGCUGGUUCUCCCCGAAAUAGCUUUAGGGCUAGCCUCGAGGUAGAGAGUAUAGGCGGUAGAGCACUGAUCGGGCUAGGGGCCAUACCGGUUACCGAACCUAGUCAAACUACGAAUGGCUAUACUUAUACUCGGGAGUCAGACAGUGAAUGAUAAGGUCCAUUGUCAAGAGGGAAACAGCCCAGAACACCGACUAAGGUCCCAAAUGUUACACUAAGUGGCGAAGGAUGUGGAGUUUCCAAAACAACCAGGAUGUUGGCUUAGAAGCAGCCACCAUUUAAAGAGUGCGUAAUAGCUCACUGGUCGAGAGACUCUGCGCCGAAAAUGUCCGGGGCUAAAGUGUAAAACCGAAGUCGUGUCAUAUGCAGCAAUGUAUAUGGGUAGGGGAGCGUUCUCAUCGGGCUGAAGCAGUACCGUAAGGAGUUGUGGACUGAUGAGAAGUGAGAAUGUCGGUAUGAGUAGCGAAAAGAAUGGUGAGAAUCCAUUCCACCGAAAGCCUAAGGGUUCCUGAGCAACGAUCGUCGUCUCAGGGUAAGUCGGGACCUAAGCCGAGGCGGAAAAGCGUAGGCGAUGGACAACAGGUUGAAAUUCCUGUACCGGUGUGAAUCGUUUGAUCGAUGGAGUGACACAGUAAGGUAGGUCAGCACGCGAUUGGAAGAGCGUGUUUAAGCAGGUAGGUUGAGCUAUAGGCAAAUCCGUAGCUCUAAAAGCUGAGAUGUGAUGACGAGCGACUAGCAAUAGUCGCGAAGUGAUUGAUCCUACACUGUCGAGAAAAGCUUCUAGGUAGAGACACAUCGCCCGUACCAAAACCGACACAGGUAGGCGGGGAGAGAAUCCUAAGGUGCGCGGGAAAACCCUCGUUAAGGAACUCGGCAAAAUGCCUCCGUAACUUCGGGAAAAGGAGGACUCAUGUAGUGUGAAGAGCAGAAGCGCUUGGAGCAUGAAUGAGUGGCACAAGAGAGGCGCAAGCGACUGUUUACCACAAACACAGGUGCCUGCUAAAGCGAAAGCUGAUGUAUAGGUGCUGACACCUGCCCGGUGCUGGAAGGUUAAGAGGAGGGGUUAGACUUCGGUCGAAGCUCUGAAUUGAAGCCCCAGUAAACGGCGGCCGUAACUAUAACGGUCCUAAGGUAGCGAAAUUCCUUGUCGGG
This 1986-nucleotide ribosomal RNA is filed under the name human gut metagenome. RNAcentral's name for it is "bacterial LSU rRNA". It matches the Rfam family "Bacterial large subunit ribosomal RNA", at positions 1 to 1976 of the family's 2925-position model. The record is from RNAcentral.